CAGGUCCUGUGACAACAGGUACGGGCCAGCAUUGGGACAGGCUUUGCCUGUAAGAGGGCUGGUCUGGGGGGACAUCUGAACCCAAUUCAGGAACACCUCACAGGUCUGCCAGCAGGGCUAGACCCGGGGUGAGAUCCAGGGCAACAGGGUCUGCCUGGGAAGCUCAGCUCCGGCACUGCCUGGGGCGUCUCUGCCUACACAGGACCAUUCCUCUCGCCUGGACUCCUCUUGGAGUUUGCCAAGGCUGGCCUCUGCAGAAAUAGGAGACUCCUGGAGGAAGACAGUGGACUUCAGCAAGCUGCACCAAGGAGAAUCCACAGCGGCAGCUGCCCUGCCAGGCGCGGGAUCUCGGUCAAGGUGGAUCAACACAGCCUCAGGUGUGUGCUCUGCCCCACUGAGAUGGCAAGUGCAUUCUUUUCUAUUCCUACGAGGAAAGAGCAUCCGAAAGAGCCUGCCUUCACAUAGGAUGAAUAACAGUGGACCUUGGCUUUGCCUCAGUGUUAUGUGCUAAUAAACCAUGUAUUCUAUGCCCUAAGGAAGCCCAGAGAGAACUGGACAAGCUGGAUAUCCCAAAGAGCAUGGCACUGGCCCACCACAUUGAUUACAUUGCGCUGGCCGGGUGCUAACCAAGAAGCAGCUAACACACUGGGAGUCUUGGUAAGAUGCCUGAGUGCCUGCAGCUGGCAGACAAAUCCUACAAAGAUUCUGGGAACUGCCACUAAUAACACUCUUGGUGGGGAGGUCCCAUAUCCCAUAACCAGGAGCAUACUGGGCCUCCUGUCCACAGCAAAGAGCCAAUUACUGCAUCUUGCAUCUCCCAUGACCAAGAGAGACAGACAAUGCCAGUACGCCUUCUGGAGGCAGCACGUUCCACACACAUGAAGACUACUCCAGCCUAUGUACCAUUGAUAGGAGAAGCUGUCGGCCUUCCCUGAGCCUGCAGCAGGUCGAGGCUGCAGUGCUGGCAGCCCUGUGACUCAGGCCCUGCAGCUGGUCGGACCCUGUGUUAUGAGAGGUAUCAGACGUGGGAAAGCAAUGCUGUGUGUUUAUGGCAAACCACUAUGCCAGAAUCACAGUGCAGGCCCCUGGGAUUCAGAAACAAAGCCGUGCCAUCUGCGGCAGAGGAUUCUGCGAAAAAUUCUGAAAAGUCCCUGUUGAUGUGCUCCUGGGGCCUGGGGUGAUGGAAUACCUGAUUGUGCAUGUGGAACUGCUCAGAUGAGCUGGAUUCUGUCUCACCCCUGGGUCAUGAGGUUGGGGACUCAGAAAUAACCCAUCACAGGUGGGAGUGUGCGUGUGGCAGCAGCAGAAGCAGGAGCAGGAGGCCAAGCAGCGGCAGCUGCCCAGUACCCCCCCCCACCCUCCACAGCAGUCCCCACAGCCCCAGUGGAGGAACCUUCUGGUGAACUGAGGAGGGAGGGACAAGCCCGGCCUCAGUUCAUGGAGGUGUCUGCUCUGCCUGUGGGGCCAGCCCAAAUCGCCUGGCUGCCAUACUCCAGUCUCAGCAAGCUGCCCUUUAAAGAGGGUGAUAUGGUUUGGCUCUGUGUCCCCACCCAAAUCUCAUCUUGAACUGUAAUCCCCAGGUGAUGAGGGUGAGACCUGAUGGGAAGUGAUUGGAUCAUGGGGGCUGUUUUCCCCAUGCUGUUCUCGUGAUAGUGAAGGAGUUCUCAUGAGAUCUGAUGGUUUUAUAA
RNAcentral lists this long non-coding RNA (1688 nucleotides) under Homo sapiens (human). RNAcentral's name for it is "non-protein coding LINC01671:2". The record is from RNAcentral. Lineage: Eukaryota; Metazoa; Chordata; Mammalia; Primates; Hominidae.